CACCGACCCCCGUUGACAAAAUCGCGAAUACUUGCGAGUCUGUUUUUGGAAACCCGAAAAUUAUUUAGAUCGCGUCGGACAAUAUCGGACGUCCGCAUAUCCCCGGUGCAAGUUAAAAUCACGGGAGCCAACCAAUAAAAGCAAUCGGGGUAACAUCUAAACGCUACACAGUGUCGAAUUGUCGCGUUUUGUUUUCCGAGAGCGUAAGAUACGGUGUAAUUCAAUGGUCCGAUU
Cinara cedri is the source of this 234-nucleotide non-coding RNA. NCBI's taxonomy places the organism in Eukaryota, Metazoa, Arthropoda, Insecta, Hemiptera, Aphididae. The record is from the annotation of a GenBank genome assembly.